UACGGGGGGGGCAAGCGUUGUUCGGAAUUACUGGGCGUAAAGGGCUCGUAGGCGGCCAACUAAGUCAGACGUGAAAUCCCCAGGCUCAACCUGGGAACUGCGUCUGAUACUGGAUGGCUUGAAUCCGGGAGAGGGAUGCAGAAUUCCAGGUGUAGCAGUGAAAUGCGUAGAUAUCGAGAGGAACACCGGUGGCGAAGGCGGCCAACUGGACGAAUACUGACGCUGAGACUCGAAAGCGUGGGGAGCAAACGGG
This 253-nucleotide ribosomal RNA is filed under the name uncultured bacterium. RNAcentral describes it as "partial 16S ribosomal RNA". It matches the Rfam family "Bacterial small subunit ribosomal RNA", at positions 524 to 776 of the family's 1533-position model. The record is from RNAcentral.